Long non-coding RNA from Perca flavescens (yellow perch), 489 nucleotides. RefSeq lists it as uncharacterized. The transcript has 3 exons. Lineage: Eukaryota; Metazoa; Chordata; Actinopteri; Perciformes; Percidae. The record is from RefSeq and is a predicted model, not a curated record.
GGCGGUCCCUUCUGCAGAGCUUUGACUGAAAAAGCCCCAAACGGCGUGCUGAUUACCGCCGGGUGGAGUCGCAGCGCUGCCGACAACUCAACCCAGGUCAACAACUCUGCUGCUCAGAGGGGCUCGUCUGAGCGGAUCCGUUCUGCGAGUAAAUAUUGUGACACGAAUCGUGCGGAUGAUCAUUUCUAUAGCGACUGAACGCCUUCAGCGGCGCAGCAUGUCUCUGCAUCUUUUAAUCCAGUGGAGAUGCUAUCAGUGACCUCAUCCAGCAGAGGAGAAGGAGUCUGAGGAAACUUCUCACCAAAUCUCUGCAGCCAGGGUCCAACAUCUGGAGGAACGACAACGCAUUCUCAUGAACAGAGGAAUACCACUCUGUCUGCUGUCGCUGUACCUGCCUGUUGACGCCACUCUCUGCCUGCAAUCACCAGCCCUGCAUGACUCGCCUUGCCUGCCCUUGUGUUCACUACCUGCUCUGUCACCUGGGAGGAU